GAAGAAGAGCGGGCGACAAAGGUGCGGGAUGGCAUGGAUUCUGCAACUCUCCCCAGCCUCCACUGCGUUUCGAAGCGACGCCCUUGACUGAGGAGUGUUUUUAAUAAUCAUCUGGCCGACUUGGAAGCUGGAGGCCGAAGGCAUAGCUGUCAAUUUUCUUGCGUUCCUUCUGCUUCCUCGGGGCAGAGAUGGUGAAAUCUACUUGUUAGGACAGUUGCAAACCCGAUUGCAGUCUGGGCUCUGGAUGCUGAAAUUAUCCUGUGAUGAUUCAUCAUCUUUAACAGAAAGCCGAGGUUACAGAGCCCAGAGUGAUUUUUGACGUUCCACAAUAUUCCACGAACAUUUUCUGAUUGCUCACUAUAUGCAUAGAUUGACUGAGUCUCUGGGGGAAAGAUGUAGAAGACAGGAGUUCUAAACCCUAGGAAGUGCAUCACCGGUAGUGGCGCCGGCUGUAGUCCCAGCUACUUGGGAGGAAACCAGAUCCUUAAGUCAUUUCUCUCUGCCUCUCUCUCUCUCUCUCUCUCUCUCUCUCUCUCUCUCUGUGUGUGUGUGUGUGUGUGUGUGUGUUGGAGGGGAAAUGGUCUUCCAAGUGAGGGAACAUUUUUUAAUUGCAUGUUUGGGUAGGGGUGGGUGUUGGGGAUGGUACAGCCAGAAUGGUGGAUGGUGGUACGUCCUGAAUGGUGGCACAGAAUCCAUUGACUAUGGGUACAUGAAACUUACAAAUCUGUAUACUAAGGAAUAAGAGUUUCAAGGUAUGCAAUGUUUGUACCUCCAAUAAUUUAAAUUGUCUCUGAGGUUUGUUUACCACAUUUUAGGGGGAAAACUGUAAUAAAGUAUGGGUCAACAUUUUGAGUCAUAAUUACUGAAAAAAGAAGCCACAUUACUAGAAUCUCUAUAGGAAAUUAAAAGCAGGAGAUAGCACUACUUGGAGGUCCAGUAACCUUUGCCUUGGUGGCCAAAGAUAGAGCAUAUUUGUCCUAUUUUAUCAUGGGCAGAAAUCAUAACUAGAUUAUGUCAACAGCAGGAGAGUUCUCAGAAAAUGGCAAGGGCAAAAGAUGAAAGAAGAUGAUGGUAAUGGCAGCUUUCACAGGCAGUUUUCUCUGGCUGGUGACAGAAGGAGAAGUCAGAAUGGAAGCAAUUUUUUUUUUUUUUUGGCCAGCUUUGAAGAUGGAAGGGGCCAUGUGACAAGGAAUUCUGUGGCCUCUGGAAGAAGAAAGUGGCCUCUGGCUGACCACCAGCAAGGAAAUGGAGUCCUUAGACCUUGAGCAGCAAAGGACUGGAUUUUUGGCAGCAACUUGAAUGGGCUUGAAAGCAGAUUCUUCUGCAGAGCUUCCAGAGAAGAGCACAGUCUGG
RNAcentral lists this long non-coding RNA (1353 nucleotides) under Homo sapiens (human). RNAcentral's name for it is "HSALNT0307822". The record is from RNAcentral. Lineage: Eukaryota; Metazoa; Chordata; Mammalia; Primates; Hominidae.